AUCCGCGAGAUCGCCUCCGGCGCUAGCCC
This 29-nucleotide small RNA is filed under the name Bombyx mori (domestic silkworm). RNAcentral's name for it is "ovarian small RNA-12464". Lineage: Eukaryota; Metazoa; Arthropoda; Insecta; Lepidoptera; Bombycidae. The record is from RNAcentral.